CUGGUAGUUUGAGCUCCAUUGAUCCAUUUAAUGCCUUCUUGAAGUAUCCGCUCUUUGAAAGCAAUGGUUGCUGCAUCAGAGAACAGAAGAUCAAAGAUUUUACCGUUAGCCCACACCCUAGCAGACACAGGGUCCCAACAUUUGGAGAGCACAAAGGACUUGAAACCAAUGAACUAGUUUUUGGGCUUUCAGCAUCCAUUGCCAGCAGAGCUUAGAGAGGAGCAUUCACGACCGGAACCAUUCACUGAUACUCGUCAAACCAGUCAAUCAGUCACUACUUGGUGCAAGUAUGUGCAGAAAGCUCUACGAAUUUAACAGCCAAUUGACAGUCAGAGAAAGCAACAGAGUCCCCGACGAUCCGUCUCAAGGAACGAACAAAUAGUACCGUCGCCCUUUUAGAACUCAAAAAACCAGUAGAGGAAGAAAGGCGAAUAGAGAGAAACGAGGUGGUUUUAUCGGUUACACUCGUGCAGGUUAGUCAAAAAGUCAAAAUGCGCACGAGUGGACUCGAUCCCAAAUUUUAAGGCUUCAAGCUCCCAAGGCGUCCUCGGGUAUUUUUUUGUUGAAAAUUGAAAUCUCUUCCCAUUCUCAACUGAACUUACAAUACACCCUCCAACAGUCUAAACUCCACACUCCUACUGAAUCAACACUUCUCUACUCCAACAAGUUGAUUGUAUAAUCUCACCUCUACCUUAAGUUUGCCUAACUGAACAAAUUGAUUGUAUAAUCAACCACGUUCGAUCCCAAUUUGGAAGGCCGUCA
This is a non-coding RNA of Nelumbo nucifera (sacred lotus), 762 nucleotides long. The record is from RefSeq and is a predicted model, not a curated record. NCBI's taxonomy places the organism in Eukaryota, Viridiplantae, Streptophyta, Magnoliopsida, Proteales, Nelumbonaceae.